RNAcentral lists this long non-coding RNA (1641 nucleotides) under Androctonus crassicauda. Lineage: Eukaryota; Metazoa; Arthropoda; Arachnida; Scorpiones; Buthidae. The record is from RNAcentral.
GUUUUGCCAAAGAAGGAAGGAAGAUGCGUAGCUACGUAGAGGUGGGACGUGUCUAGUAUGGGUUGAUUGAGUUCCAUUCGGAGUGGUGGGAUGCAUCUGAAAUCGUUUGGAGUGUCCAAUUGUCUAUGGGGGUUUUGCAGAAAUCUUGGAGAAGCGUGGUUCCGAGCCCCAACUUUGGGGCCCCAUAGCUUGGGGGUGGGGCCUUUGCCCCUCGUGGGGCUCUCGCCGGUGGGCUCGGGAGCCCUUAGUUGGGGGGGUGGGAUGGAGUGGGGGUCGAGGUUCCGGUGGGUUCCGCUGGGAUUUUUUCUCCAAUCGUACCGUUAUCAAUAAAGCUGAUUCACAUCACUGUACUUAUAUUAUCAUAUGCUCCGCCAUUGCUAUAGCCAUCGCCAACUGCUAUGGACCGGUGUCCAAUGAUUUAGGAGUAGUUCUCCGUAUGUGAAAAUUUUUUCCCGAUUAAAUGUAUUAUGAAUUACAACAAAUUUUUAUUCUGAGCUAUUUUAAUUAAAAGCAUAAUUCAUAAAAUAGUUUAUUUCUUUUACAUAAAAUAAUAAAUUAAAAUUAAAAUGUCUUGAAUCAAAUAAAAAUUACGAGUAGAUUACUAAAAAUAAUAAUGCUAAUAUAAACAGUAACUUAUAAUUAAAAGAAUCGUUCUAAUGAAGGACCUCUUUUCGUGUUUCCACAAAAUUGGAACAUUUUUUCCUUACUUUCGAUGUUUUCCGUCUAAAUUAACAACUAGGAAUUAUUUACUUUUUUCUUCAGAUGUGACUUGAACGCUAUUACUGUGCCAAAUUCGAAGUAUCUUCGUCCAGAGUUACGCCUGGAUUUUUCCAUUAACACUAUAACAAUUCGUUAUUUAAAAAGGGAGAUAAUGUUUAUCUAUAUAAUAUAUAUAAUAGACGGUAUAUAAGUUCUGUAAAUAAAUUGAACCGUCUUGCUUUUAAUAUGAAAGUAAAAACAUUUCCAGUAUGAUGGCUAAGCGUAUGGAAGGAAAUGUAUUUAAGCGUAUGGAAGUACUGCACAUUGAAAAUGUGCCAAUGAACAGUCGGGAUAACUGCGUUUAACACUUUACUGAAAAAAUAAAAAGCUUAGGCAAAUGAAAAAUAUAACUGAAGUUUUUAUGAUUUGUGUUAAAAAAAUGCUUAAGGAUAAACUGUUGGCAAAAUGCAGCAUUUAAGAUUUUAAAAAAAGAAAGUAGACAUAAUCUGUAAAUUAAGCUGCAUGAAACUGUCUUACUAGAAAAAAAUUAAAUCUAAUAAACAGUACUGUUAUAUAUUUAAAAAUUGGAAUGUCUGUAUGGAUUGUGAAUAAAAAUUUCCAUAAUGCAAUGAAAAAUGACUGACUAAAUAAAAGAACAGAUUUUUUAUAUUUGGUUUGAAGUAAAUACAAUAGAAAUGAAAGAAUACAGUACUGUAUAACUGUAUAGCAUAUAACAAACAGUUUUUAUAAAUUGUGUUUAACUGUUUUCUAUCUAAGAAAGAAGUAAACGUAGUACUGAAUGCAAUGUUUAAUUAAUACUUAACUUUUAUUAUAGUAUAGACUUAUUUCAUUUACUAAUUAAUUUAUAUUUCGUAAAGUAAAUAAUACUUUUGGGCUGCCUUGUGGAGGUGCCUUUGUUUGCAUCGUUUGGAUUGCAACGAC